RNAcentral lists this long non-coding RNA (231 nucleotides) under Carica papaya (papaya). RNAcentral describes it as "long non-coding RNA (CPAP_LNC009625)". The record is from RNAcentral. Lineage: Eukaryota; Viridiplantae; Streptophyta; Magnoliopsida; Brassicales; Caricaceae.
AGUACAACCAUGAACAUAACUUACAUAUAGGAGCAUUGUGGUCGACACGACCGUAGUCAUAGAUCGUGCCAUGGUUCGACAAGCCGUAAAUGUGCUAUUGAUUUGUUAAACCACAAAUCGCUGAAAUAAUACGAAAUAAAUUGGUCAUUCCACAUGCGUAGUCAAAAAUCCAUAUUGCUCUCAGUAGAUAAAAGUCAUAAUGACUUCCGUGAAGAAUAAAAUAAAAAGCAU